Xenopus laevis (African clawed frog) is the source of this 1041-nucleotide long non-coding RNA. RefSeq lists it as uncharacterized. Lineage: Eukaryota; Metazoa; Chordata; Amphibia; Anura; Pipidae. The transcript is spliced from 3 exons. The record is from RefSeq and is a predicted model, not a curated record.
GCCCCCAUUAUGCUCCUGCUUACAAUCUCUUAUUAUUUCUCCCCAAAAAGUGAAAUAUUCGGAGCGAUUUGCGAGAGACCGAUUUGAGAGAAAAAGCGAUUGUGAGAGAGACAGCAAAAUAAGAAGAGAGAGAGAAGCAAAGAGAAGAGAGAAGACAAAGAAGAAAGAAGACCUUGAGUGACCCCCUGCCAGAGAUUAAUCACAUCUUCUCAUUUGGGAUCCUCUGGACAAAGGGGUGUCGGAGAUGGGCUUGUGUUCAAGCAAGGACCGCCUUUACAUAAAAGGCUAUCGCCAGGGCUCACAGUGGAUCUACAGGAAGGAGGAGAGGAUCUGUAAGAUCACUGAUUUGGAGAGCAUGAGGAAGGACCUCAUUGGCGAAAUAAAAUGGACAAGCUAUGAUUAUUGUAUAGCUAGAGACAGCCUGGAAUUAACGAGGUGGUGAAAAAUCAUAUUUAUGGCUGAGGUCCUGCAGGACAAGAUGAAGGCCAAAGCCCAACUGAAAUCCCUCUACAAACAACUAGAGGAGAUAAACUGGGCAAUUUUGAGGAAGUACAUGGAAACAUAUCCAGGUACAGUAUCUAAUGAAUAUAUUUGUUCAAUUAUUACUAUUUUGUAAUAGGGCUGAUGUAUUGAAAGCCAUUGCAAUGCUGUGAUUUUGUGAAAAUCAACCACAAAAAGAACAUAUAUAUCCUGCGCAGCUGAAACCUAUUGAGAUGCCAUAGAAACUAAUAGGAAGUGUAUCUUCAUCAUUUUGGCAAGGAAUUGGGAUUGGGAUCAAAUGGCUUGAAACCUGCGAUUUGCAACUUGUCCCAUAAUCACAGAGGGAAAUGGUACAUUUGCAUUUAGUAAUGUUAAUUUGCAUAACUGCCAUAUUUUUAAUUAAAAUCCCCCAAAAUGUUAUAGACUUUUUCAGAGAUAUCACUUGCUAAGGUAAAACCCUUGGGUACAAGUUUAACAUUAUUUUGUUUGGUUUUGCAGAGAGCCCACCAGCACCAUCGCAGUUUACACAUUACCAUGUAUCGAUGUACCUCUGUGUAGGUG